RNAcentral lists this ribosomal RNA (476 nucleotides) under uncultured bacterium. RNAcentral's name for it is "bacterial LSU rRNA". It matches the Rfam family "Bacterial large subunit ribosomal RNA", at positions 1616 to 2075 of the family's 2925-position model. The record is from RNAcentral.
AGCCUCUAAGCUUCAGGUUUACGUCACCCGUACCCGAAACCGACACAGGUGGGCUAGGAGAGAAUCCUCAGGCGCUGGAGAGAACUCGGGUGAAGGAACUCGGCAAAUUAGCACCGUAACUUCGGGAGAAGGUGCGCCCGCAUUACGUGAAACCCCUGCGGGUGGAGCGGAAGCGGGCCGCAGUGACCAGGUGGCUGCGACUGUUUACUAAAAACACAGCACUCUGCCAACACGAAAGUGGACGUAUAGGGUGUGACGCCUGCCCGGUGCCGGAAGGUUAAGUGAUGGGGUCAGCGCAAGCGAAGCUCUGGAUCGAAGCCCCGGUAAACGGCGGCCGUAACGAUAACGGUCCUAAGGUAGCGAAAUUCCUUGUCGGGUAAGUUCCGACCUGCACGAAUGGCGUAACGAUAGCCACACUGUCUCCACCCGAGACUCCGUGAAAUUGAAAUCGCUGUGAAGAUGCAGCGUACCCGCGG